This 253-nucleotide ribosomal RNA is filed under the name uncultured bacterium. RNAcentral describes it as "partial 16S ribosomal RNA". It matches the Rfam family "Bacterial small subunit ribosomal RNA", at positions 524 to 776 of the family's 1533-position model. The record is from RNAcentral.
UACGUAGGGACCAAGCGUUGUUCGGAUUUACUGGGCGUAAAGGGCGCGUAGGCGGCUUGACAAGUCACUUGUGAAAUCUCCGGGCUUAACUCGGAACGGCCAAGUGAAACUGUCAUGCUAGAGUGCAGAAGGGGCAAUCGGAAUUCUUGGUGUAGCGGUGAAAUGCGUAGAUAUCAAGAGGAACACCUGAGGUGAAGACGGGUUGCUGGGCUGACACUAACGCUGAGGCGCGAAAGCCAGGGGAGCAAACGGG